This is a long non-coding RNA of Xyrauchen texanus (razorback sucker), 601 nucleotides long. RefSeq lists it as uncharacterized. NCBI's taxonomy places the organism in Eukaryota, Metazoa, Chordata, Actinopteri, Cypriniformes, Catostomidae. The transcript is spliced from 4 exons. The record is from RefSeq and is a predicted model, not a curated record.
AGCGAGUACACUGCAGAACACCGUGACCGGCGUAGAGGGACAUGGAGGGAAAAAAGUAGAAGGUUGAAAAAGAAGGCAUCUUUUGAAUCACGACCGACGAACGGCCAACAGACGACAUAGUUUGGAAACACCGGACCCACCGGACCCUUUCUAGUUGGUUGUAGGCUAUAGAGGCACCUGUCAGAACACAUGGAGGGGAAGUUUGCAGUGGUGCGGUGGAGUGAAGGGGAGGAUUUUGGGAAGCUCAGUGACAUAAAAACUGAUGCCAUAAGGGGGUAUGAUGAUUCCAAGAUGGACCAGGAUGGGAAUCCCUUUGCCACCUACUCAGCCGUAAUUGAAUGGCGCCAUGGGAAGAAACAACGAGGAGGCUGGCCUCACUACAGAGGCACUGUCAUUUUUGUUAGUGUGUGGGUGUUAAGAUAACAGCAAGGUAAAUCUCUCAGAGAUGAAAGCAGGAGCAGCUGUGUGGUGGAGUUUGCAAGGGUGGGGGCUACACUCCACAGAUACUGAUAAAUAACUACUUAACAGAAGGUUCUGGGUUCACUCAUCAAGAGGAAGCUUUGGGAUUCCAAAUGGUGACUGGGAAAUAUUUCUUCCAAGA